Molecule: ribosomal RNA, 2001 nt
Filed under: Triticum aestivum (bread wheat)
Lineage: Eukaryota; Viridiplantae; Streptophyta; Magnoliopsida; Poales; Poaceae
Description: partial small subunit ribosomal RNA
Source: RNAcentral
AUGGAGAUCAAGGGGCUGGGCCAGCUCCUGGCGGCGCUGGCCGCCGCGCUCUUCCUGCGGGUCGUCGCCGCGGGGGCCGGCCCCGCCCUCCUCCCGCCCGCGGAGGAGGAGGAGGAGGACGCGGAGGCCGGCGAGGGGGGAGGCGGCGGCGGGGUGCGCCCGGUGGCCAUCCGGUGGGCCCGCAUCACCUGCGCCCUCAAGAACAAGCGCGGGGACAUGGCAAGGUUCUUGCUGUCGAAUCUGUCCGGGGAGGCGAAACCGGGGAGGUUGCUAGCGCUCAUGGGGCCGUCAGGGUCCGGCAAGACGACGCUGCUCAAUGUGCUGGCAGGGCAGCUCGCGGCGUCGCCUUCCUUGCACCUCUCGGGCUUUCUCUAUGUCAAUGGCCAGCCUAUGUCGCAGGGCGGUUAUAAGAUCGCUUAUGUGAGGCAAGAAGACAUUUUCUUCUCACAGCUCACGGUGCGGGAAACACUCUCCCUUGCCGCUGAACUCCAGCUUCCCGACACCAUGUCUCCUGAGAGGAAGGAGAAGUAUGUUAAUGAUCUCUUGUUUCGCCUUGGAUUGGUCAACUCUGCCGAUUCUAUUGUGGGUGAUGCAAAAGUACGCGGAAUUAGUGGUGGUGAAAAGAAGCGCCUCUCGCUUGCAUGUGAACUGAUUGCAAGUCCUUCAGUCAUCUUUGCGGAUGAACCAACAACAGGCCUUGAUGCAUUCCAGGCAGAGAAGGUGAUGGAGACCCUUAGACAACUUGCAGAAGAUGGACACACUGUGAUAUGCUCUAUACACCAGCCGAGGGGUUCAGUCUAUAGCAAAUUUGAUGACAUUGUGCUACUGUCAGAGGGAGAAGUUGUAUAUAUGGGGCCUGCAAAAGAGGAACCUCUUAAAUACUUUGCAUCAUUAGGGUACCAGUGCCCAGAUCAUGAGAACCCUGCCGAGUUCUUGGCUGAUCUCAUUUCCACUGAUUAUAGCUCAGCCGAAAGUGUACAGUCAUCACAGAAAAGGAUUGAGAACCUAAUUGAUGAAUUUACAAAUAAGGUUCUGAUUACUGAAUUUAACAGUCCAGUAACACAAUCAGAGGGCUCUGAAUUUUCUACCAAACUUGCUCAGAAGUCUACUAGAAAGCAAAGACGUGGUUGGUGGAGACAAUUUCGUUUGCUGUUCAAGAGAGCAUGGAUGCAGGCUUUUCGUGAUGGACCAACAAACAAAGUGAGAGCAAGAAUGUCUGUUGCUUCAGCAAUUAUAUUUGGAUCAGUGUUCUGGCGAAUGGGGAAAACUCAAACUUCCAUACAGGAUAGGAUGGGACUUCUUCAGGUGGCUGCCAUAAACACAGCAAUGGCUGCUCUGACAAAGACGGUGGGAGUUUUUCCAAAAGAACGUGCUAUAGUUGACAGGGAACGAGCAAAAGGUUCGUAUGCACUAGGACCAUAUCUCUCAUCUAAGCUGCUGGCCGAGAUUCCUAUUGGAGCAGCAUUUCCGUUGAUAUUUGGAUCCAUCCUCUAUCCAAUGGCUAAACUUCAUCCAACAAUUUCUAGAUUUGCCAAGUUCUGUGGCAUCGUGACUGUUGAAUCGUUUGCGGCAUCAGCCAUGGGUCUUACAGUGGGAGCAAUCGCUCCUACAACCGAGGCUGCGAUGGCUCUUGGGCCAUCCCUUAUGACGGUGUUCAUCGUCUUUGGAGGAUACUAUGUGAACCCUGAUAACACCCCCGUCAUCUUCCGCUGGAUCCCAAAAGCAUCUCUGAUCAGAUGGGCUUUUCAAGGACUUUGCAUUAAUGAGUUCAAGGGUCUGCAGUUUGAGCACCAACAUUCUUACGAUGUUCAAACUGGAGAACAGGCCCUGGAGAGAUUUUCGCUGGGAGGAAUCCGCAUCGCCGACACGCUGGCUGCGCAGGGCAGGAUCCUGAUGUUCUGGUACUGGCUGACCUACCUCCUCCUGAAGAAAAACAAACCGAGGUACCAGCAGCUCCUGCCGCCCUCCGAGGAAGAUCAAAGUAAGCAGCAGACGGAGUAG